CUAACUUGUGGCCAGAUCCACAUAUGACAUUCAUAAUUCCAACUGUGGACCGUGUUUCCACUUUAGAUUCUAGACCUCACCAGUAGGCUCUGUUCCUGUUUGAGGGUGACAAUCCUAACUGCUGGCUGGGUGUGUUUAAGAGAGCCACAAUCUCACCUGUGUGCUGGGUCCUGCUGUGACACUCUCUGUGCCACCCAAGGCCUUUAUAUUAUAAGCAUGUGUAGUAAUCCUCUGUGACCUUCGUACAAGUAGGGGAACCAGGACCUUACCAUUUGCCCUAAGCCUAGCUAUGUGAAUUAAUAUAUCUUUUUUUUUUUUUGCUGAUUCCAGAUACAAGAUUCAUCAUCAUGCCUGUGAGCUGGGUCCAAUAAUGAAUCACCAUCCUACCUGUGGCCAAAUGCAUAUAUGACAGUUACAACUCUAACUGCAGACUGCAUCGGCAUGUAAAAUUUAGGUCACCAGUGGGCUCUCUCCAUGUUUGAAUGUGGUGAUUCUAAUGGUCAGUGAGGUGUGCAUAGGAGAGUCACAAUCUCAUCUUCAAAGUCAAGAGCACUUUUGAGUUAUUUA
This 567-nucleotide long non-coding RNA is filed under the name Homo sapiens (human). Its description in RNAcentral is "HSALNT0257369". The record is from RNAcentral. Lineage: Eukaryota; Metazoa; Chordata; Mammalia; Primates; Hominidae.